AGGAUGUGACAAUCCGCGGGACCCGAGCUUCACAUAUGUAGUUCUUCCCCUGAAUUGCAAGAACUUGAAAUACUUGGGAUUUGAAGACUGUGUCUAGAACUUCUUGCUCAAACAAAGGAAAAUUCCAGGUGAACCAAAAUGAAAUUUCCUAUAAGCUUGCAUGUGGAGAAAUAAGGGAGGCAGUCUACAAAACAGCGCUUUCGACUGUUACAGGUGAGCUGUGCAGGCCAUCCAGAAAGAAAAUAGUUCUACUUCAUGAACAGAAUGCCUCUGGUGAGAUCUGCGUAGAAGGUUAUCUACUGAUUGUAGAAGAUCCUCAACCUGACAUUGAAUCAUCCAGCACUGAAUGCUGGAUCUAAUUAGCGAAGCUGAGGUGUUUCCUGAAUGUCCUCUAAGC
Molecule: long non-coding RNA, 397 nt
Filed under: Dromaius novaehollandiae (emu)
Lineage: Eukaryota; Metazoa; Chordata; Aves; Casuariiformes; Dromaiidae
Description: lncRNA (ENSDNVG00000009217.1)
Source: RNAcentral